GCCGGUGUGUCGGAAUUGGCAGACGAGGCAGACUCAAAAUCUGUUUCCGGCAACGGAGUGCGGGUUCAAGUCCCGCCACCGGCA
This 84-nucleotide transfer RNA is filed under the name Butyrivibrio sp. RNAcentral's name for it is "tRNA-Leu". It matches the Rfam family "tRNA". From Rfam's summary of the family: Transfer RNA (tRNA) molecules are approximately 80 nucleotides in length. Their secondary structure includes four short double-helical elements and three loops (D, anti-codon, and T loops). The record is from RNAcentral. RNAcentral also lists the same sequence under 2 other names. Lineage: Bacteria; Bacillati; Bacillota; Clostridia; Lachnospirales; Lachnospiraceae.